UCGUAAUAGCAAUAGGAGUCGCAGGGGAAGUAGAGGAAGCAUCCAAUUUUACAUUAUAUGGGGCUUUGGCACGUCGAGGAAGAGAAUAAGCUUAAGCUCUUUGCGGGAUAAGGGCGGUUAGCAAGAAGGUUUUUGAAUCAACAAAGGAAGAAUGCGCUCCUAUGGAAUCAGCUCUUGGGAAUAGAAGGGGAAUGAAGGCAAUUUGCCUUUUAUUAUUUUAUUAAAUAGAAGAGGCUAAUCGAGAUCCUAACUCGAAAGGAAUAGGGCAUUACAUUAAGUAAAAGGAUUGGGCAAAUAAAGAGGUUCUUAGAGAGCUGGUGGAAGGCUCAAGACAGAAGGAAUUUACAUAUAAUAAGAAGGAUCUCAUGUCAUGGUUCUUGUUCAAGAAUCGGGAUAGAUCCCUUUUAAAGCAGUGUCUUAUAUAAGAGGUGGUUCUACUCUCAUAUCUCCAGACAUAGCAUAUCCUAUUUCAUUUCAAGUUCCCUUAGAUGGUGAUGUGACCACGCCCCAAGCCCCAUCAAGUCCUCGUCUUGAUUCCCUCGAGCUUCCAAAGGGACCAAUGACCCGAGCUAGGUCCAAGCGAUUUCAUGAAGUUGUUUCAGCUUUGUUGUUCAAGUUUUGGAAGGAGAAUCAGCUUGCUGAAGAUGAGGAAGCUCGAUCCAACUCCUUGAAGAAACCAUGCACCUUAGUGCAAGCUAAUUUCAGCUCCAUUUUAGCUUUUCUAGCUCGUUUCAACUCCGACCAGCUCAAUUGAGCUCAUUUCAGCUCAAUCGAGCUCAAUUUAGCUACAAUUCAGCUCAUUUAUUUUAUUGGUUGAAUAAUUAAAGUAUUUUAUUAACUUAGUUUAAGUUAUUACAGCUCAUAAUUAUGUUUUGAUUUAUUUCAUGCUUUUAAAGUUGUCUUAGCCAAAUAUAAUAUGUUUAGCUUAAGACUUUAUUUUUGUCUAUUUUAAAUUUAUGUGUUAAUUAAUAUAUCUAUUUUAAUUAAUUUGUUCAUGUUUCAUGUAGGUACAGCCGAAUGUGGAGAUUCAUUCAAGCUAGGUGCAUGAACGUCUACUUACAAUGCAUGAUGUGGGAACACAAUUAAAGAUGAUUCAUGAAUGGGCUGGUUCAAUGAACGUAAGGAUGAUGCAUGAAUGAUUUAAUACAAUGAAUGGAAGAAUGCAUGAAUGUUCACUUACAUGCAUCGGUUGCUGUCCAUUGAUCUCCUAAGUACCUAUUCGGCCAAAAGGCAUCUCUUGGAGUGUCCAUUCACACCUUGGCCGAACCUAGACAUGUCCAUUGCUCUCCCAUACAUUCACCAAGCCUUCAAGUUCAUUUCCUUAGCCAUGAAGCUGCCCAUUGAAGUACCAUUCAGCUGAAUUUGGACAUAGCCUUUAAAGAUACAUUUCUAGAUUAGUUUAAUUCAAUUAAAGCCGAAUUUACUUAGUCUAUUUGGCUAUCUAAUGUAAUCUAUAAAUAGUUCUUUUCUCUUUGUAAAAAGGUUACAGAAUUUGAUCAAUUAAACUUAAUAGAACUUUUGUUCUUGUGAGGUUACCUCCUGAUACGGUGUUACGCGCGGACCAAGAUUGAGUUGCCAAGUCACGGGAAACUCCUACGAAAACCCUAAACAAUUAGAUCUAAAACGAAAUAGAAAAUUAAAAGAUUAGAUUUUUGAAUUUUUAGAUCUGAAAUAAAAUCCCCAAAUCAGCAAAGAAUCAAAUUGAGAAUAGAAAUAAGUGUUAGGGUUCUUGAAACCCUCAAGGAGAUUGUGAUUCUGCCCAAUUGAACACCAAGAUAGUUUUCCCCAAAUUUCGACAAUCUAAUUUCACCCAAAAAGAGUAUGGAAAAACCCUAGAAAUUGGGGAUUUUUGGGCUGAUUCCUUAAGAUAGAAAAAGGCUGAAAACACAAUAAGAACAGAAAAUAGAUUAGAUAAUGAUUCAGCACAAGUAGAAAUAAAGAAAGAAUUGACAGUAAGAAAUUAAAAGAUAAGUCCUAAGAAGCCUUGAAAUCUCGAAAGAUCUCACACUCCCUUCAAACGGCUCUAAUCUCCCCUCCAAAGAAUAUCAAUGGCAAGAAGAAGGUUGAAGAUGGCUCCUACAAUCACAAGAUUGUUAAAACAACUUCUAAAGAAAACUCAAGAGAGAAAUCUUGGAGAAAACUCAAAGAAAAUUCUGCUCUCAACAAAUCUGAAAUUUUAAUAAUAAUGAUAAGUGUUUUACAAGGUGGACAGCCAUGCCUUUAAAUAGGCAUUAUAACUAGUCCUAAUCUAAUUAGAAAACUAAAAUAAAAAAACUCCUAAUUAUUUUAAUAUGGAAAUUCGGUCAAAGGUCAUUUUAUCUGGGACUCUUGGACUGAAUAUUGACAUAAAAAUUUAAACUAAGUAAAUAAAUAAAUAAAUAAAUAAAAAUAAAAAUAAAACUUUACAACUUGGGCCACUUUGACAAUUUGGCCUGAUUUUCAACUAAGUAUGGAUGGAUUUCUUGAUUGGGCUGGGAAUUUGCUUAUUGGGCCUCGCCUUCAAGAAUUUGGGCUUUUGUGACUCGUAUCACCUCCUCUCUUCUUUCGUUCGAGUCUCGAAGCGACUUAUCUAGCUUGCUAGUGGUGUCAAUCCGAACUCCAUUGAACUUAUCACCGAAUCGGUGUGGCGUUCAACCAUCUUCCUAUACCUUUGGUUCUUACCUCCAUAUAGGUAACGGGUCAAGGUCCGCUUCUAUCCUUCAUCAAAAUUCACCUUAAGCAAUAUAAGACUCGGGGUAAUACUUUUUAGUAUUGAAUCAUUCUUAAAGUUUGAGUUCUUUAUCCAUUUCCAUUUAUUUAACAUCUUUGUAACUUAAUUCUUUGUUAAACCGAACCUAUCUUUCAUCAAACCAAAACCCAUCCUUUGAACCCAUUUUGCCUACCUUCCGCUUAUAAAACAUUCAAACUCCAUCUAUCUACAAAUUUGAACGAGCUUCUCGUCGACGAUCGGGCAUCUUAAGUGAACCCGACUCAAUUAAUCAGGACGGAUCACAUCAUUUGGUAUCAGAGCUACUAAAACGAGGAGCGCCGACGUUCGUAAUAAGGCCGCAAGUAGGUUCGAAACGUGAAAAAAAAAUCAAAAAAAAUUAGAGUUGUAAUUUAAUUUUUUUUCCCUUGUAUUUAGCUUACUAUUGUAUUGGAGUAACAAAAAAAUCAAAAAAAAAUUCGAAAAAAAAUUGAUUGAAAAAAAAAUGAAAAAAAAAUCGAGAAAAAAAAAGGUGAGCAAAAAAAUCAAGUUAAAAAAAAGUGAAAAGUCUUGCGAGUUUUUAUUUUAUUUUAUUUUUCUCUCUUAUUUGCUCCGAUAAUCAAGUUUCCCUUCCUACCAUUAUUUACCCAUCCCAACGCCACACUUAGCCUUGAUUUUAUUUUGUUUAGCCUACCCUACACCCACAUCAUUCCUUUGUAACCUAUUUUGAAACCGACCCUCAAGCAGCAAAUUAAGUCUAUCGAGACGAAUUACGAAAUUGUGAGACGAGGUCAAGAGGUAAAAGGCACGUGUGUUUUACAUCAAAGAAAAAGCCUAGAAGAGUGUAAACACGAGUGCGAGUGAAAAUCAUUAUUUCUUUGUGAGAGAUUGGUGAGGAUUUUGAAUUGGUGAGGUUCAUUUACUAUUUAUUCUAUCUUUCGAUUUUCGAACAUUUUCUUGAAUCAUGUCUCAAGAAGAAUUCUCUACCGAUGAAUUUCAAUACUUGGUGAACGAGAUGGGCCGAAUAUUGGAGGAAAAACUAAGCCCAUUAAAAAGACGUUUGGACCGAGUGGAGGAAAAAGCCCGACGGAAGCAAACUCCACCGAGUCGAGAAAUAGAGUUAAGUUCAUCACGACGACAUUUUUCGAGAAGAGACACAUAUCAAGACUCCUAUUCAACAAGGCUUUCGAGACCGCGAGAAGAAAACUUCGAGUCAAAAAUCACUCGAGAUGAGCGAGAAAGGACGAGCUAUUCCUCGUAUGCUUCAAAGAAGUCCUUACCAAAGGAUUGUUCUCGAAGAAAUGGACGAGAAGCUUAUGAAAAUAUUUUCUCUUUCUUUGAGCCAAAUGAUUAUCUCUUUGAUUCUUUCGUGUCAUCCGCACAUUGUAGUGAAAAAGAAAAAGAAAUCAAAAUAGUGAGUGAAAAAGAAAAUGAAGAAAAGAAAAUUGAAAAAGAAAUUGAGAUUGAGAAAAAAAUUAAAAAAGAAAAAGAUGUUGAAGAAGAAACGAGAGAAAAUGAAGAUAGUGAGCGAGAACAAGAAAAGGAGAACGAAAUUUUAACUAACCCCCGUGAUGUUUGUUUUUGUUCUGUUCCUUCUUUUCAGGUUUCGACAAAUCUCUGUGACGAAUAUCAACUUCAAUAUCUUCCUAACGAGCGACGUUUUUGCAUGACCAAAAAAGGUAAGGAUGAAGUUGAAAUCAAACCACACGAGCUUGAAGGUAAGCGAGGUAAGGAAGUUUUAAAAACCGAGUCAUAGCCAUCAAGUUUGAAAGUUGUUGAAAAUGACUUUGUUUUAAAAAAAUUCUCUUAUUUUCAUUCGAUUAAUUUCUAUUCUUUGAAUGUGGUUGAUGUUGUUCGGUACGAACGACAAACUAAAGAUUUGGUUUUGCAUGAUGUCGGGUUUUCACGAAAAGCGAUUCAAUUUUUCAAAUAUGAUAAUUUUGUGCAUCCAUUAUUGUCAUGUGACAAAUCCAUGAAUUUGUGCAAGUUUGAUUUGAUGAAUAUAAAGAGAUUUGAAUGUUUGUUUCUAUGGACACGAAAACCCUUUUGGUUUGACAUGUUUGAUUUACUAAAACACUUUGGCGUAAGUAAUCAAACUCGUGUGUUCAAACCUGGAAUUUAUUAUUUUAGGUUGAUAUGUGCGGAACUCAAGCAUCCUAAAUUUUAUGUGACAAAUUUAUGUCUGUUUGAUGUUUGGCCUCUGAAAUUUAAAGACUCUGUUUAUAAUUUAAAAUUGUUCUUUGAUCAUUUUAUGUGGCUGUCCAUGAAAUUCAUUUUUCAUUUCGAAAAGGUAAGAUCAACUCAUGUUUUUGAACCUGGUAUCGUUACAUAUGUUCAAUAUGUGAAUAGUGUUUUAGCCUGUUCCUUUGAGUUCAACGUCUAUGGAGACAUUACCCUCUUUCAGCAUUAUGAACCCAACACUUCGAAAAGUGCAAGUUGCCUUUGUGUUUACCCUUCGUUUCAGGUUUUUCAAGGAUUGUGUAAUGAGCUUCGACUUCAAUACCCUCUCAAGGAGAAAAGGUUCACUUUGAUUGAAAAAGGUAAAAUUGAUUCUCAAUUUUCCACUCCUAAAGGUGAAUCAGGUAUGAAUUCUGAUGUUAUGCGACCAUCUUCUCUUAAGUCGAAUGUAACUAAAAUUUUUGAAGACACCUUGAUUGCUGAAAAUCGUUUGAAUCCUGUUGUGGUUAAUUAUUUGAUUUUGCUUGAUGAUGAUAAAUCCAUUUUGAGUAAUGAUAAGACGAUUUUUCUCUUUGGAAAAUGUGAUGAAUUCAUUGUUGAGAACAUAACCAAACGACAAUUGCGAGUGCCAAACAUGCGAAAUCAUGAAUCAUAUGAAACUUUUCAUUUGUGUGUUUGUGAUGAAGAUUUAAAUUUCUUGUUCCAUUACUCGCAUUCCAUUUACUUGAACAAUGACUUGUGGAAGCAAAUUGAAAGGUUUGAAUGCUUAAAAACAUAUUUGUCUUUGUCUCGACCAUUUGAUGAGUUAUGGAUAUGGAAGGAGUUUUGUCCAUAUGAUUGUAAGAAUGAUGUUUUAAGUUUGCCUUUUUACAUAACUCAUACUUGUCUUGUUAUGACCAUGCAUGAUCCACAUAGUUGUUCUGAUCAUUUCUUGAUGAUUAAUGGUUGUCUAUUUUCAUUGAUUCAUUUGCCAUCUCUAAUGCCAAAUAUUGUGAGUUCUUUUGCAAAGGCUUAUGAACGACUAAUUGUUCCAUUCAUUCAAGGAGAGUUGCAAAAGACGGAUUAUUUUCUAGAGAAUAAACAGCUCGACUUGAGGACAAGUCGUUUUAAAGAAGGGGGGAAUGAUGUGACCACGCCCCAAGCCCCAUCAAGUCCUCGUCUUGAUUCCCUCGAGCUUCCAAAGGGACCAAUGACCCGAGCUAGGUCCAAGCGAUUUCAUGAAGUUGUUUCAGCUUUGUUGUUCAAGUUUUGGAAGGAGAAUCAGCUUGUUGAAGAUGAGGAAGCUCGAUCCAACUCCUUGAAGAAACCAUGCACCUUAGUGCAAGCUAAUUUCAGCUCCAUUUUAGCUUUUCUAGCUCAUUUCAACUCCGACCAGCUCAAUUGAGCUCAUUUCAGCUCAAUCGAGCUCAAUUUAGCUACAAUUCAGCUCAUUUAUUUUAUUGGUUGAAUAAUUAAAGUAUUUUAUUAACUUAGUUUAAGUUAUUACAGCUCAUAAUUAUGUUUUGAUUUAUUUCAUGCUUUUAAAGUUGUCUUAGCCAAAUAUAAUAUGUUUAGCUUAAGACUUUAUUUUUGUCUAUUUUAAAUUUAUGUGUUAAUUAAUAUAUCUAUUUUAAUUAAUUUGUUCAUGUUUCAUGUAGGUACAGCCGAAUGUGGAGAUUCAUUCAAGCUAGGUGCAUGAACGUCUACUUACAAUGCAUGAUGUGGGAACACAAUUAAAGAUGAUUCAUGAAUGGGCUGGUUCAAUGAACGUAAGGAUGAUGCAUGAAUGAUUUAAUACAAUGAAUGGAAGAAUGCAUGAAUGUUCACUUACAUGCAUCGGUUGCUGUCCAUUGAUCUCCUAAGUACCUAUUCAGCCAAAAGGCAUCUCUUGGAGUGUCCAUUCACACCUUGGCCGAACCUAGACAUGUCCAUUGCUCUCCCAUACAUUCACCAAGCCUUCAAGUUCAUUUUCUUAGCCAUGAAGCUGCCCAUUGAAGUACCAUUCAGCUGAAUUUGGACAUAGCCUUUAAAGAUACAUUUCUAGAUUAGUUUAAUUCAAUUAAAGCCGAAUUUACUUAGUCUAUUUGGCUAUCUAAUGUAAUCUAUAAAUAGUUCUUUUCUCUUUGUAAAAAGGUUACAGAAUUUGAUCAAUUAAAAUUAAUAGAACUUUUGUUCUUGUGAGGUUACCUCCUCUCUUCUUUCGUUCGAGUCUCGAAGCGACUUAUCUAGCUUGCUAGUGGUGUCAAUCCGAACUCCAUUGAACUUAUCACCGAAUCGGUGUGGCGUUCAACCAUCUUCCUAUACCUUUGGUUCUUACCUCCAUAUAGGUAACGGGUCAAGGUCCGCUUCUAUCCUUCAUCAAAAUUCACCUUAAGCAAUAUAAGACUCGGGGCAAUACUUUUUAGUAUUGAAUCAUUCUUAAAGUUUGAGUUCUUUAUCCAUUUCCAUUUAUUUAACAUCUUUGUAACUUAAUUCUUUGUUAAACUGAACCUAUCUUUCAUCAAACCAAAACCCAUCCUUUGAACCCAUUUUUCCUACCUUCCGCUUAUAAAACAUUCAAACUCUAUCUAUCUACAAAUUUGAACGAGCUUCUCGUCGAUGAUCGGGCAUCUUAAGUGAACCCGACUCAAUUAAUCGGGCCGGAUCACAUCAGAUGGUGGGGCGAUAGAUCUUUCUCUUGUAUUUAGGACUAACGAUAUAAUUUCAUAUUCAGGGAGUUCCAUUCCAGUGUCCAGCUAUGAAAUAACAGUCCUAAGGCCCUCCAGUUCCAUUGAGAUAGCUACGGGAUGAGAUAGGUAAAUUCUUUGCUAGGUUGGAGUUUUCCUCCAUGGAAAAACCUUCUCGUCUCUUUGAGAUUUGAUAUAGAGUUCCCAUUGAGUGGGACUAACCCAGAAGAACCACAUCUGUCUCAAGCUGACCCGACCUUCUUACAUCUCAAAUUUGCUUUCCCUAGAAUAAAGAUCUAGUGCGCCUAUCUUGGGAAAGUUCCUUCCUGCUUUGCUUUCUCUGGGAAUUUCUGAGUUGGAAUUGUAAAAUAACUUUUUCAAAGAGAGAGUAGCGAGGAGAAGGCAAUCCAACCUUACAUUGGUAUAAGAUAUUGACUAUUGGGAUAAAUUUCAUCUUUCUAUCCGAAGUUUUAGGGGAAGAUAGUUCUUUUAUCAACCAAUUGCGAUUCAAUGUGGGAAUACACGGCGAAAGGCGCAUCUCUUCCAAAGCUAUUGCUUUUUAAGCUGAACUCUGCUAUCAGACUUUGAUAUUCGUAGAUCUAAGAUUUCUGGGGUAAGGACUGACUUAGGCUUAGUGAAUAUCUUUGCUUUUCAAUAGUACGAUCUUCGGCAUAUGAAGAGAUAUUUUUUUUAAGUUUCUUUUCUUAAUCAUCUGGGAAUGAAGAGGAUGAUAAGUUGACUUCUUUCUUCCCUUCCAUUUCAUCCUUUUCACUUAGAAGCGAUCCACUUUAUAUAUAAAUAACACCUGUGCUAAUGAUUUCUUUCAUGCAGUAAACAGGGUCAAGUGAGUGAACAAGACAUUUAUUUUUCAAGCCAACAGGGAAGACUAACUGAAGGGAGUAAUAUGCCAGUAGCAGUCCCCAUAACUUAAACUAUAUUCUUCUCUGAUAUCAUAGAUCGAGCGAGGGCCUAUCUUUGCUGACUCAUAUCUAGUAUGAGGGUGAGUUGCCACCCAUAUACUUUUAGGGCUAGCUUCCAUUCAUUCUAAUCUUGUCAUUCCCUCUUCUA
Molecule: long non-coding RNA, 8577 nt
Filed under: Gossypium barbadense (sea-island cotton)
Lineage: Eukaryota; Viridiplantae; Streptophyta; Magnoliopsida; Malvales; Malvaceae
Description: long non-coding RNA (GBAR_LNC022948)
Source: RNAcentral